Molecule: long non-coding RNA, 629 nt
Organism: Haemorhous mexicanus (house finch)
Lineage: Eukaryota; Metazoa; Chordata; Aves; Passeriformes; Fringillidae
Exons: 3
Source: RefSeq, a predicted model, not a curated record
CAGCAACUCCCGCCUUCCCCGCCCCGCUCCUGUUCCACCGCUCGGUUCCAACCCUGAUCCAGGACGGGCCCCAGUGUGCUCUGGUGGCCCUGGCCAUGGCGGGGGCGCUGCUGGGACCCCCUGGCCCCAAUUGGGUCUGGGGGCUCUGCUGGAGCCAGCGCGGGCCAGGGGCUGCACCCGCCACAGGGAGAUGUUCUCAGGCGCUCCCCCACAGCCGGCAGGACGCAGAGACGGGGCAGUACAUAGUGCAGCUUUUGCUUUUUGCUUGGCUUUUUGCUUUGCUCUCACUCUUGCUUCUGCUUUGCUCCUGCUUUGCUCUUGCUUUCUGCUUCUGCUCAUUAGUUAGUUUAGCUAAGCAGUUCAAAUUUUUCCCUGGACUGUUUUUCCUUUACCUUUUUUGGAACUACUCGAACCUGCUCCAGACUGGGACUGGGAAACACCAAGAGUUUGCACCUUGUGGCUGCAGCAGCUGCCCCAGUGCUGGAGGGACUGAUAACAGAGCGACCACCCCAAGAGAGACUUUCUGAAUUUGUCAUCUUUUUCAGAGCGGUGAAAGAGUGGUGUCAUCUGGUAUUGUUCAUUUUGUGUGCUGGGGGUGCUGUGCUUGUCAAAUAAACGGGUUCUUUCCA